CCUACGGGAGGCUGCAGUGGGGAAUAUUGGACAAUGGGGGGAACCCUGAUCCAGCCAUGCCGCGUGUGUGAAGAAGGCCCUCGGGUUGUAAAGCACUUUCAGUGAGGAAGAACGCCUGGUGGUUAAUACCCAUCAGGAAAGACAUCACUCACAGAAGAAGCACCGGCUAACUCCGUGCCAGCAGCCGCGGUAAUACGGAGGGUGCGAGCGUUAAACGGAAUUACUGGGCGUAAAGCGCGCGUAGGUGGCUUGAUAAGCCGGUUGUGAAAGCCCCGGGCUCAACCUGGGAACGGCAUCCGGAACUGUCAAGCUAGAGUGCAGGAGAGGAAGGUAGAAUUCCCGGUGUAGCGGUGAAAUGCGUAGAGAUCGGGAGGAAUACCAGUGGCGAAGGCGGCCUUCUAGACUGACACUGACACUGAGGUGCGAAAGCGUGGGUAGCAAACAGGAUUAGAUACCCUAGUAGUC
This 465-nucleotide ribosomal RNA is filed under the name Vreelandella stevensii. Its description in RNAcentral is "partial 16S ribosomal RNA". It matches the Rfam family "Bacterial small subunit ribosomal RNA", at positions 338 to 795 of the family's 1533-position model. Lineage: Bacteria; Pseudomonadati; Pseudomonadota; Gammaproteobacteria; Oceanospirillales; Halomonadaceae. The record is from RNAcentral.